GGACCUGGAGGUCUGAGGAGGACCUGGAGGUCUGAGGAGGACCUGGAGGGCAGGGAGGGGACAGACCAGGGUUGCUGGAGGACCAUGAGGCCCGCUGCUCUCUGCUCUACUCUUCUUCGUUGGUGGGCAGGAUCACAUCCCAGAAGGAGGUUCCCAACCUUACCUGCAACAUACCAGAAUUCCUUGGUAAAUUCGUUUUGAGGCGACUAUCCUCCUGGAGAAGCCGAAGAUCACACUACAGACUUCUGAAGACCUGAACUUUAUAAGGACCAUUAAGGACCAUUAUCCUGUUGAAGACCCAACAAUCUCCAACAUACUGGACUUUAGGUGGGUCUCAUUGGGGCCCAUCAGGACCUGCUGAAGACCCAACAACCUCCAACAUACUGGACUUUAGGUGGGUCUCAUUGGGGCCAUCAGGACCUGCUGAAGACCCAACUGUCCCCAACAUCCUGGACUUUAGUUGGGUCUCAUUGGGGCCAUCAGGACCUGCUGAAGACCCAACAGUCCCCAACAUACUGGACUUUAGUUGGGUCUCAUUGCAGCCAUCAGCACCUGCUGAAGACCCAACAAUCUCCAACAUACUGGACUUCAGUUGGGUCUCAUUGCGGCCAUCAGCACCUGCUGAAGACCCAACAAUCUCCAACAUACUGGACUUCAGUUGGGUCUCAUUGCGGCCAUCAGGACCCGCUGAAGACCCAACUGUCCCCAACAUACUGGACUUCAAAUGGACCUCAUCAGGAUCAUCAACCUCAACAGUUUUUAUGGGACUGAGUUUACAUUCAGGGCAGGUGGGACUUCAUGAUGGACCUGGAACCACCUGGAUUCCAGGAUU
Molecule: long non-coding RNA, 832 nt
Organism: Cololabis saira (Pacific saury)
Lineage: Eukaryota; Metazoa; Chordata; Actinopteri; Beloniformes; Belonidae
Exons: 2
Source: RefSeq, a predicted model, not a curated record